Molecule: ribosomal RNA, 465 nt
Filed under: uncultured bacterium
Lineage: Bacteria
Description: partial 16S ribosomal RNA
Rfam family: Bacterial small subunit ribosomal RNA
Source: RNAcentral
GACGAACGCUGGCGGCGAGCUUAACACAUGCAAGUCGAACGGAAAGGCCCCUUUGGGGGUACUCGAGUGGCGAACGGGUGAGUAACACGUGAGUAACCUGCCCUUGACUUCGGGAUAACUUCAGGAAACUGGGGCUAAUACCGGAUAGGAAUCCUUGCUGCAUGGUGGGGGUUGGAAAGCUUCGGCGGUUUUGGAUGGACUCGCGGCUUAUCAGCUUGUUGGUGGGGUAGUGGCUUACCAAGGCUUUGACGGGUAGCCGGCCUGAGAGGGCGACCGGCCACAUUGGGACUGAGAUACGGCCCAGACUCCUACGGGAGGCAGCAGUGGGGAAUAUUGCACAAUGGGCGGAAGCCUGAUGCAGCAACGCCGCGUGCGGGAUGACGGCCUUCGGGUUGUAAACCGCUUUCAGCAGGGGCGAAGCUUGUGGUGACGGUACCUGCAGAAGAAGCACCGGCUAACUACGUG